This 497-nucleotide ribosomal RNA is filed under the name uncultured bacterium. Its description in RNAcentral is "partial 16S ribosomal RNA". It matches the Rfam family "Bacterial small subunit ribosomal RNA", at positions 28 to 507 of the family's 1533-position model. The record is from RNAcentral.
GAUGAACGCUGGCGGCGUGCCUAAUACAUGCAGGUCGAGCGAACAGACGAGGAGCUUGCUCCUCUGACGUUAGCGGCGGACGGGUGAGUAACACGUGGAUAACCUACCUAUAAGGCUGGGAUAACUUCGGGAAACCGGAGCUAAUACCGGAUAAUAUAUUGAACCGCAUGGUUCAAUAGUGAAAGACGGUUUUGCUGUCACUUAUAGAUGGAUCCGCGCCGCAUUAGCUAGUUGGUAAGGUAACGGCUUACCAAGGCAACGAUGCGUAGCCGACCUGAGAGGGUGAUCGGCCACACUGGAACUGAGACACGGUCCAGACUCCUACGGGAGGCAGCAGUAGGGAAUCUUCCGCAAUGGGCGAAAGCCUGACGGAGCAACGCCGCGUGAGUGAUGAAGGUCUUCGGAUCGUAAAACUCUGUUAUUAGGGAAGAACAAAUGUGUAAGUAACUAUGCACGUCUUGACGGUACCUAAUCAGAAAGCCACGGCUAACUACGUG